This is a long non-coding RNA of Astyanax mexicanus (Mexican tetra), 321 nucleotides long. RefSeq lists it as uncharacterized. The transcript has 2 exons. The record is from RefSeq and is a predicted model, not a curated record. Lineage: Eukaryota; Metazoa; Chordata; Actinopteri; Characiformes; Acestrorhamphidae.
CACGGCGAAGGCAAUCCCAUGAUGCAUUUCACCAGCUCAGAGUUCCAGCUCUCAGAUUUAAAAACAUGGCGGACGGAGCCGGCACUGCGAGGGAAUUUCUGUACAAAUGGAUGAACGUGGGCCGGGGAAGGUGAACUCUGGUCAGACCGGCUGGAGGCAGCGUUAGCUCCCUUUAUGAAUAGUUUUUUUUUCUUUGAAUGUAAUAAGGUUUUCUCUCUUAACAUUAUUAUUUUUGCUUGCUAUGUUUUUAUUGUCACUAUGCUUAUUGUAGUAUCACAUCUCAACUAGUGGGCAUGGGUAAAUAAAAAAAAUUAAAGUUUA